This 1022-nucleotide ribosomal RNA is filed under the name Enterococcus faecalis. RNAcentral describes it as "partial 23S ribosomal RNA". It matches the Rfam family "Bacterial large subunit ribosomal RNA", at positions 311 to 1336 of the family's 2925-position model. The record is from RNAcentral. Lineage: Bacteria; Bacillati; Bacillota; Bacilli; Lactobacillales; Enterococcaceae.
AUAUGGUAGUCUGUUAGUAUAGUUGAAGGAUUUGGAAAAUUCCGCUAAAGAGGGUGAAAGCCCCGUAGACGAAAUGCUGACAACACCUAGGAGGAUCCUGAGUACGGCGGAACACGAGAAAUUCCGUCGGAAUCCGCGGGGACCAUCCCGCAAGGCUAAAUACUCCCUAGUGACCGAUAGUGAACCAGUACCGUGAGGGAAAGGUGAAAAGCACCCCGGAAGGGGAGUGAAAUAGAUCCUGAAACCGUGUGCCUACAACAAGUCAAAGCUCGUUAAUGAGUGAUGGCGUGCCUUUUGUAGAAUGAACCGGCGAGUUACGAUUGCAUGCGAGGUUAAGUCGAAGAGACGGAGCCGCAGCGAAAGCGAGUCUGAAUAGGGCGAAUGAGUAUGUAGUCGUAGACCCGAAACCAUGUGAUCUACCCAUGUCCAGGUUGAAGGUGCGGUAAAACGCACUGGAGGACCGAACCCACGUACGUUGAAAAGUGCGGGGAUGAGGUGUGGGUAGCGGAGAAAUUCCAAACGAACUUGGAGAUAGCUGGUUCUCUCCGAAAUAGCUUUAGGGCUAGCCUCGGAAUUGAGAAUGAUGGAGGUAGAGCACUGUUUGGACUAGGGGCCCAUCUCGGGUUACCGAAUUCAGAUAAACUCCGAAUGCCAUUCAUUUAUAUCCGGGAGUCAGACUGCGAGUGAUAAGAUCCGUAGUCGAAAGGGAAACAGCCCAGACCACCAGCUAAGGUCCCAAAAUAUAUGUUAAGUGGAAAAGGAUGUGGGGUUGCACAGACAACUAGGAUGUUGGCUUAGAAGCAGCCACCAUUUAAAGAGUGCGUAAUAGCUCACUAGUCGAGUGACCCUGCGCCGAAAAUGUACCGGGGCUAAACAUAUUACCGAAGCUGUGGACUACACCAUUAGGUGUAGUGGUAGGAGAGCGUUCUAAGGGCGUUGAAGGUCGAUCGUGAGGACGGCUGGAGCGCUUAGAAGUGAGAAUGCCGGUAUGAGUAGCGAAAGACAGGUGAGAAUCCUGUCCA